This 377-nucleotide ribosomal RNA is filed under the name uncultured bacterium. Its description in RNAcentral is "bacterial SSU rRNA". It matches the Rfam family "Bacterial small subunit ribosomal RNA", at positions 521 to 896 of the family's 1533-position model. The record is from RNAcentral.
UAAUACGGGGGGAGCAAGCGUUGUCCGGAAUCACUGGGCGUAAAGGGCGCGUAGGCGGAUUAUUAAGUCAGAAGUGAAAUCCACCCGCUUAACGGGUGAUCUGCUUUUGAAACUGAUAGUCUUGAAACAUGAAGAGGAGAAUGGAAUUCCAGGUGUAGCGGUGAAAUGCGUAGAUAUCUGGAAGAACACCGGUGGCGAAGGCGGUUCUCUGGUCAUGGUUUGACGCUAAAGCGCGAAAGCGCGGGGAGCGAACAGGAUUAGAUACCCUGGUAGUCCACGCCCUAAACGAUGAAUACUAGGUGUAGGAGGUAUCGACCCCUUCUGUGCCGCAGCUAACGCAUUAAGUAUUCCGCCUGGGGAGUACGAUCGCAAGGUUG